GCAAAAUCACCAUGAUACAUAAUUUAUACUGGGUUAAGUUACCCUUUGUGGAAAGUAGGUGAGCUGGACAAGUGUUAAACAGGGCUUCAGCCUCACUGUUGUCAAUGGUUAUAAUGGGGAGAUUUUUCCCAGAAUGGACAAGGCUUAACAAAUCACUGCACAGUUACAUGUUCUAACGGCUUUGGGUGGUCUGAACAACUUUGCACAAGCUAAAUCAGAAGUGAAUUAAAAGAUAUUAGGAGAAUGCAAGAGUUAAAAUGUUGGCUUGAUUGUCUGGAAUUAUUUUGAUCCCAGAAAGAUUUGAAAGGGAAAGGCAGAACUGGAAGCUAAAUGAAAGGAAAACAGGGGAGGUUGAAAUGUGUUGCUCGCUAUUAGAACUUAAUUUCACUUCUGCAAAGGAAGCAAGGAACCUCAAUUUAUGAGGGGAUUGUGAGGGCCUUUGCAAGGGGCUGUAUUGAAUUUCAGAAAGCAUUUUACAAGAAGGAAGCCUGCCACAAUCUUGUGCUAUAGGACUUCCUUUGGAAGCAUAUAUUUCUUCCCCAUAAGUCUUUUGAACAGUUUUAUACUGCACAUGUUUCAAGAGAAUUAAAUCAAUAACAAUCUGUACCUUUCUAACCUGAAAUGCAAGCUCUGCAUGGCAGGAGAUCAAGCUAUGCAAUUAACUGUUGUCCUUUCAAAGGAAUUCUGACAGAUAUUUAUAGUUUACUGUAUUCCUUUUUCCUGCCAUUGGAAUAUAACAGUACAACUGAAUGCAGCUGACUGGAACUAUGAAAUAAUUAUAGCAAUAACUAUUUCCUUCUCUACUGGGGAGAUCUUGUAAAGUGCUGAAUGUGGGAACUUCUGAUGUUCUUACCCCUCAGAAUUCGGUCCUUGCUUCCAGUUUAUCAUGCAUCUACUGAUAAGU
Molecule: long non-coding RNA, 904 nt
Organism: Neopsephotus bourkii (Bourke's parrot)
Lineage: Eukaryota; Metazoa; Chordata; Aves; Psittaciformes; Psittacidae
Exons: 2
Source: RefSeq, a predicted model, not a curated record